This 1536-nucleotide ribosomal RNA is filed under the name Klebsiella pneumoniae. Its description in RNAcentral is "bacterial SSU rRNA". It matches the Rfam family "Bacterial small subunit ribosomal RNA". The record is from RNAcentral. Lineage: Bacteria; Pseudomonadati; Pseudomonadota; Gammaproteobacteria; Enterobacterales; Enterobacteriaceae. RNAcentral also lists the same sequence under 2 other names.
UUGAAGAGUUUGAUCAUGGCUCAGAUUGAACGCUGGCGGCAGGCCUAACACAUGCAAGUCGAGCGGUAGCACAGAGAGCUUGCUCUCGGGUGACGAGCGGCGGACGGGUGAGUAAUGUCUGGGAAACUGCCUGAUGGAGGGGGAUAACUACUGGAAACGGUAGCUAAUACCGCAUAAUGUCGCAAGACCAAAGUGGGGGACCUUCGGGCCUCAUGCCAUCAGAUGUGCCCAGAUGGGAUUAGCUAGUAGGUGGGGUAACGGCUCACCUAGGCGACGAUCCCUAGCUGGUCUGAGAGGAUGACCAGCCACACUGGAACUGAGACACGGUCCAGACUCCUACGGGAGGCAGCAGUGGGGAAUAUUGCACAAUGGGCGCAAGCCUGAUGCAGCCAUGCCGCGUGUGUGAAGAAGGCCUUCGGGUUGUAAAGCACUUUCAGCGGGGAGGAAGGCGUUAAGGUUAAUAACCUUGGCGAUUGACGUUACCCGCAGAAGAAGCACCGGCUAACUCCGUGCCAGCAGCCGCGGUAAUACGGAGGGUGCAAGCGUUAAUCGGAAUUACUGGGCGUAAAGCGCACGCAGGCGGUCUGUCAAGUCGGAUGUGAAAUCCCCGGGCUCAACCUGGGAACUGCAUUCGAAACUGGCAGGCUAGAGUCUUGUAGAGGGGGGUAGAAUUCCAGGUGUAGCGGUGAAAUGCGUAGAGAUCUGGAGGAAUACCGGUGGCGAAGGCGGCCCCCUGGACAAAGACUGACGCUCAGGUGCGAAAGCGUGGGGAGCAAACAGGAUUAGAUACCCUGGUAGUCCACGCCGUAAACGAUGUCGAUUUGGAGGUUGUGCCCUUGAGGCGUGGCUUCCGGAGCUAACGCGUUAAAUCGACCGCCUGGGGAGUACGGCCGCAAGGUUAAAACUCAAAUGAAUUGACGGGGGCCCGCACAAGCGGUGGAGCAUGUGGUUUAAUUCGAUGCAACGCGAAGAACCUUACCUGGUCUUGACAUCCACAGAACUUUCCAGAGAUGGAUUGGUGCCUUCGGGAACUGUGAGACAGGUGCUGCAUGGCUGUCGUCAGCUCGUGUUGUGAAAUGUUGGGUUAAGUCCCGCAACGAGCGCAACCCUUAUCCUUUGUUGCCAGCGGUUCGGCCGGGAACUCAAAGGAGACUGCCAGUGAUAAACUGGAGGAAGGUGGGGAUGACGUCAAGUCAUCAUGGCCCUUACGACCAGGGCUACACACGUGCUACAAUGGCAUAUACAAAGAGAAGCGACCUCGCGAGAGCAAGCGGACCUCAUAAAGUAUGUCGUAGUCCGGAUUGGAGUCUGCAACUCGACUCCAUGAAGUCGGAAUCGCUAGUAAUCGUAGAUCAGAAUGCUACGGUGAAUACGUUCCCGGGCCUUGUACACACCGCCCGUCACACCAUGGGAGUGGGUUGCAAAAGAAGUAGGUAGCUUAACCUUCGGGAGGGCGCUUACCACUUUGUGAUUCAUGACUGGGGUGAAGUCGUAACAAGGUAACCGUAGGGGAACCUGCGGUUGGAUCACCUCCUU